CACCGCCACCUUCACCAUUACCUUCAGAACCACCAGUAGUACCACCAGUAGCACCACCAGUAAUCUUCCCGGACCUGCGCCUCGCCACCGUUUUCCCCGUGAUCCAAAAGUUCAAGGCCAGCAUCACCUCCGACCCUCUUGGAAUCACCUCUACAUGGGUCGGUGGAGACAUCUGCAAAUACAAGGGCUUCUACUGCGACAACCCACCAGAUAACUCCACCUCCCUGGCACUUGCCGGCAUCGAUUUCAAUGGCUUCCAGCUGGCUGCACCUAGCCUGGAUGGCUUCAUUGAUGCCCUUCCUGAUCUAGCAAUCUUCCAUGCAAACACCAACUUCUUCAGCGGCAACAUCACCCCCAAAAUCGCCAAGC
RNAcentral lists this long non-coding RNA (369 nucleotides) under Vitis vinifera (wine grape). RNAcentral's name for it is "long non-coding RNA (VVIN_LNC000661)". The record is from RNAcentral. Lineage: Eukaryota; Viridiplantae; Streptophyta; Magnoliopsida; Vitales; Vitaceae.